This 219-nucleotide unclassified non-coding RNA is filed under the name uncultured Tomentella. RNAcentral describes it as "sequence contains ITS2". The record is from RNAcentral. Lineage: Eukaryota; Fungi; Basidiomycota; Agaricomycetes; Thelephorales; Thelephoraceae.
ACACCUCAACUCUCAUGGUUUGCCGUGAUGAGCUUGGACUUUGGGGGUUUUGCCGGCCGUGCGGUCAGCUCCUCUAAAAUUAAUCAGCUUGCCAGUGUUUGGUGGCGCCGCAGGUGUGAUAACCGUCUACGCUUGUGGUCGUCUGCCAGGUGACCUUCGGUUACGGAGGUUUGCUGGAGCUUCCAAAUGUCUCUCCUUAGCGAAGACAGCUUCUCGAUC